RNAcentral lists this ribosomal RNA (468 nucleotides) under uncultured bacterium. RNAcentral describes it as "partial 16S ribosomal RNA". It matches the Rfam family "Bacterial small subunit ribosomal RNA", at positions 28 to 507 of the family's 1533-position model. The record is from RNAcentral.
GACGAACGCUGGCGGCGUGCUUAACACAUGCAAGUCGAACGGAAAGGCCCUGCUUUUGUGGGGUGCUCGAGUGGCGAACGGGUGAGUAACACGUGAGUAACCUGCCCUUGACUUUGGGAUAACUUCAGGAAACUGGGGCUAAUACCGGAUAGGAGCUCCUGCUGCAUGGUGGGGGUUGGAAAGUUUCGGCGGUUGGGGAUGGACUCGCGGCUUAUCAGCUUGUUGGUGGGGUAGUGGCUUACCAAGGCUUUGACGGGUAGCCGGCCUGAGAGGGGGACCGGCCACAUGGGGACUGAGAUACGGCCCAGACUCCUACGGGAGGCAGCAGGGGGGAAUAUUGCACAAUGGGCGGAAGCCAGAUGCAGCAACGCCGCGUGCGGGAUGACGGCCUUCGGGUUGUAAACCGCUGUCGCCUGUGACGAAGCGUGAGUGACGGUAAUGGGUAAAGAAGCACCGGCUAACUACGUG